AUACGUAGGGGGCGAGCGUUGUCCGGAAUGACUGGGCGUAAAGGGCGUGUAGGCGGCCGAUUAAGUCUGGAGUGAAAGUCCUGCUUUCAAGGUGGGAAUUGCUUUGGAGACUGGUUGGCUUGAGUGCGGAAGAGGUAAGUGGAAUUCCCAGUGUAGCGGUGAAAUGCGUAGAGAUUGGGAGGAACACCAGUGGCGAAGGCGACUUACUGGGCCGUAACUGACGCUGAGGCGCGAAAGCGUGGGGAGCGAACAGGAUUAGAUACCCUGGUAGUCCACGCGGUAAACGAUGAAUACUAGGUGUAGGGGGUAUCGACUCCCUCUGUGCCGCAGUUGACACAAUAAGUAUUCCGCCUGGGGAGUACGGCCGCAAGGUUGAAACUCAAAUGAAUUGACGGGG
Molecule: ribosomal RNA, 397 nt
Filed under: uncultured bacterium
Lineage: Bacteria
Description: partial 16S ribosomal RNA
Rfam family: Bacterial small subunit ribosomal RNA
Source: RNAcentral